RNAcentral lists this non-coding RNA (1244 nucleotides) under Solanum tuberosum (potato). RNAcentral's name for it is "Eukaryotic large subunit ribosomal RNA". It matches the Rfam family "Eukaryotic large subunit ribosomal RNA", at positions 440 to 1514 of the family's 3401-position model. The record is from Rfam by way of RNAcentral. Lineage: Eukaryota; Viridiplantae; Streptophyta; Magnoliopsida; Solanales; Solanaceae.
UGCCCGCAACUUCGGGAGAAGUCCAUAGAACCUUAUCAUUUAGAGGAAGGAGAAGUCGUAACAAGAUUUCCGUAGGUGAACCUGCGGAAGGAAUAUUGUCAAAACCUGCAAAGCAGAACGACCCGCGAACAUGUUUUAAACACUUGGGGGAGACGCGCUCUCGUCGUGGCCCCUCCCGUCCCGGUCGGAUGUGGAACGGAGAAGAAUCUGUCCGCCGAUCGACUUGGGGCGUGGAUCAGCGUGGAUUGGGGGGGCGACCAAAGCCCAGGCUCUCGAUACGCCAUAGGAACACGGUUUCCUUGAUUAUGAUAUCCAGUGCACGCCUCUGGCGUGCUUCGGCAUCUGCACGCUCUGGACGCUGGUUUGUGGGCUCCCCAUUCUACCCGUAUUGAAACAUGGACCAAGAAGUCUGACAUGUGUGCGACUCAACGGGCGAGUAAACCCGUAAGGCAUAAGGAAGCUGAUUGGUGGGAUCCCCCUAAGGGGUGCACCGCCGAUCGACCUUGAUCUUCUGAGAAGGGUUCGAGUGUGAGCAUACCUAUCGAGACUCGAAAGAUGGUGAACUAUGGCUGAGCGGGGCAAAGCCAAAUAAAAUUCUAGUGGAGGCCCGCAGCGAUACUGACGUGGAAAUCGUUUGUCUUACUUGGGUAUAGGGGCGAAAGACUAAUCGAACCGUCUAGUAGCUGGUUCCCUCCGAAAUUUCCCUCAGGAUAGGUGGAGCUCGCAUGCGUGUUAUAUCAGGUAAAGCCAAUGAUUAGAGGCCUCGGGUGCGCAACGCCCUCGACCUAUUCUCAAACUUUAAAUAGGUAGGACGGCACGACUGCUUUGUUGAGCCGCGCAACGGAAUCAAGAGCUCCAACUUGGCCAUUUUUAGUAAGCAGAACUGGCGAUGCGGGAUGAACCGGAAGCCGGGUUACGGUGCCAAACUACGCGCUAACCUAGAUCCCACAAAGGGUGUUGGUCGAUUAAGACAGGACGGUGGUCAUGGAAGUGGAAAUCCGCUAAGGAGUGUGUAACAACUCACCUGCCGAAUCAACUAACCCCGAAAAUGGAUGGCGCUUAAGCGCACGACCUACACCCGACCGUCGGGGCAAGUGCCCUGCCCCGAUGGUUAGGAGGGUGCGGUAGGUGCUGCAAAAACUAGGGCAUGAGCCUGGGUGGAGCGGCCGUCGGUGCAGAUUUUGGUGGUAGUAGCAAAUAUUCAAAUUAGAACUUUGAAGGCCGAAAAGGGGAAAGGCCGACGU